UGCUUGCACUCAAUUGGAAAGAGGAGUGGCGGACGGGUGAGUAACACGUGGGUAACCUACCCAUCAGAGGGGGAUAACACUUGGAAACAGGUGCUAAUACCGCAUAACAGUUUAUGCCGCAUGGCAUAAGAGUGAAAGGCGCUUUCGGGUGUCGCUGAUGGAUGGACCCGCGGUGCAUUAGCUAGUUGGUGAGGUAACGGCUCACCAAGGCCACGAUGCAUAGCCGACCUGAGAGGGUGAUCGGCCACACUGGGACUGAGACACGGCCCAGACUCCUACGGGAGGCAGCAGUAGGGAAUCUUCGGCAAUGGACGAAAGUCUGACCGAGCAACGCCGCGUGAGUGAAGAAGGUUUUCGGAUCGUAAAACUCUGUUGUUAGAGAAGAACAAGGACGUUAGUAACUGAACGUCCCCUGACGGUAUCUAACCAGAAAGCCACGGCUAACUACGUGCCAGCAGCCGCGGUAAUACGUAGGUGGCAAGCGUUGUCCGGAUUUAUUGGGCGUAAAGCGAGCGCAGGCGGUUUCUUAAGUCUGAUGUGAAAGCCCCCGGCUCAACCGGGGAGGGUCAUUGGAAACUGGGAGACUUGAGUGCAGAAGAGGAGAGUGGAAUUCCAUGUGUAGCGGUGAAAUGCGUAGAUAUAUGGAGGAACACCAGUGGCGAAGGCGGC
Molecule: ribosomal RNA, 669 nt
Filed under: uncultured Bacilli bacterium
Lineage: Bacteria; Bacillati; Bacillota; Bacilli
Description: bacterial SSU rRNA
Rfam family: Bacterial small subunit ribosomal RNA
Source: RNAcentral